UCUACGGGAGGCAGCAGUGAGGAAUAUUGGUCAAUGGGCGCGAGCCUGAACCAGCCAAGUAGCGUGAAGGAUGACUGCCCUACGGGUUGUAAACUUCUUUUAUCAAGGAAUAAAGUGAGGCACGUGUGCCUUUUUGUCUGUACUUUAUGAAUAAGGAUCGGCUAACUCCGUGCCAGCAGACGCGGUAAUACGGAGGAUCCGAGCGUUCUCCGGAUUUAUUGGGUUUAAAGGGAGCGUAGAUGGGUUGUUAAGUCAGUUGUGCAAGUUUGCGGCUCAACCGUAAAAUUGCAAUUGAUACUGGCAGUCUUGAGUACAGUAGAGGUAGGCGGAAUUCGUGGUGUAGCGGUGAAAUGCCUAGAUAUCACGAAGAACUCCGAUUGCGAAGGCAGCUUACUAAACUGCCACUGACAUUGAUGCUCGAAAGUGUGGGUAUCAAACAGGAUUAGAUACCCCUGUAGUC
RNAcentral lists this ribosomal RNA (460 nucleotides) under uncultured bacterium. RNAcentral describes it as "partial 16S ribosomal RNA". It matches the Rfam family "Bacterial small subunit ribosomal RNA", at positions 338 to 795 of the family's 1533-position model. The record is from RNAcentral.